GUUGAAACUCUGGUUCUCGUACGAUCACCGAAGUUAAGCAGUCUCGAGUUUAGUCAGUACCUCGCUGGGUAACUGCUUGCGAAUAGCA
Molecule: non-coding RNA, 88 nt
Organism: Acanthosepion pharaonis
Lineage: Eukaryota; Metazoa; Mollusca; Cephalopoda; Sepiida; Sepiidae
Source: the annotation of a GenBank genome assembly